UACGUAGGGUGCGAGCGUUGCCCGGAUUUAUUGGGCGUAAAGGGCGCGUAGGCGGCUCGGCACGUCCGUUGUGAAAUCGCCCGGCUCAACUGGGCGGGGUCAGCGGAUACGGUCGAGCUUGAGCAAGCUAGGGGGUAAUGGAAUUCCCGGUGUAGUGGUGGAAUGCGUAGAUAUCGGGAGGAACACCGAUGGCGAAGGCAGGUCUCUGGGCUGACACUGACGCUCAUGCACGAAAGCGUGGGGAGCAAACAGG
Molecule: ribosomal RNA, 253 nt
Filed under: uncultured bacterium
Lineage: Bacteria
Description: partial 16S ribosomal RNA
Rfam family: Bacterial small subunit ribosomal RNA
Source: RNAcentral